CCUACGGGGUGCUGCAGUGGGGAAUAUUGCACAAUGGGCGCAAGCCUGAUGCAGCCAUGCCGCGUGUGUGAAGAAGGCCUUCGGGUUGUAAAGCACUUUCAGCGGGGAGGAAGGCGUUAAGGUUAAUAACCUUGUCGAUUGACGUUACCCGCAGAAGAAGCACCGGCUAACUCCGUGCCAGCAGCCGCGGUAAUACGGAGGGUACAAGCGUUAAUCGGAAUUACUGGGCGUAAAGCGCACGCAGGCGGUCUGUCAAGUCGGAUGUGAAAUCCCCGGGCUCAACCUGGGAACUGCAUUCGAAACUGGCAGGCUAGAGUCUUGUAGAGGGGGGUAGAGUUCCAGGUGUAGCGGUGAAAUGCGUAGAGAUCUGGAGGAAUACCGGUGGCGAAGGCGGCCCCCUGGACAAAGACUGACGCUCAGGUGCGAAAGCGUGGGGAGCAAACAGGAUUAGAUACCCCUGUAGUC
Molecule: ribosomal RNA, 465 nt
Filed under: uncultured Klebsiella sp.
Lineage: Bacteria; Pseudomonadati; Pseudomonadota; Gammaproteobacteria; Enterobacterales; Enterobacteriaceae
Description: bacterial SSU rRNA
Rfam family: Bacterial small subunit ribosomal RNA
Source: RNAcentral